GACGAACGCUGGCGGCGUGCUUAACACAUGCAAGUCGAACGGUGAAGCGCCUUCCUUUUUGGUGGGUGUGGAUGAGUGGCGAACGGGUGAGUAACACGUGAGUAACCUGCCCCCUUCUUCUGGAUAACCGCAUGAAAGUGUGGCUAAUACGGGAUAUUCUGGGUCUGUCGCAUGAUGGGUCUGGGACAGAUAUUGUUUCGGUGGGGGAUGGGCUCGCGGCCUAUCAGCUUGUUGGUGGGGUGAUGGCCUACCAAGGCGGUGACGGGUAGCCGGCCUGAGAGGGUGGACGGUCACACUGGGACUGAGACACGGCCCAGACUCCUACGGGAGGCAGCAGUGGGGAAUAUUGGACAAUGGGCGCAAGGCUGAUGCAGCGACGCCGCGUGAGGGAUGGAGGCCGUCGGGUUGUGAACCUCUUUCGCCAGUGAAGCAUGCCUGCCUCGUUUGUGGGUGGGUUGACGGUAGCUGGAUAAGAAGCGCCGGCUAACUACGUG
RNAcentral lists this ribosomal RNA (494 nucleotides) under uncultured bacterium. RNAcentral's name for it is "partial 16S ribosomal RNA". It matches the Rfam family "Bacterial small subunit ribosomal RNA", at positions 28 to 507 of the family's 1533-position model. The record is from RNAcentral.